This 314-nucleotide unclassified non-coding RNA is filed under the name plant metagenome. RNAcentral's name for it is "partial contains 5.8S ribosomal RNA, internal transcribed spacer 2, and large subunit ribosomal RNA". The stretch from base 1 to 105 matches the Rfam family "5.8S ribosomal RNA", at positions 50 to 154 of the family's 154-position model. The record is from RNAcentral.
GAAAUGCGAUAAUUAAUGUGAAUUGCAGAAUUCAGUGAAUCAUCGAGUCUUUGAACGCACAUUGCGCCCCCUGGUAUUCCGGGGGGCAUGCCUGUCCGAGCGUCAUUGCUGCCUUCAAGCACGGCUUGUGUGUUGGGCUUCCGUCCCUGGCAACGGGGACGGGCCCAAAAGGCAGUGGCGGCACCAUGUCUGGUCCUCGAGCGUAUGGGGCUUUGUCACCCGCUCCCGUAGGUCCAGCUGGCAGCUAGCCUCGCAACCAAUCUUUUUAACCAGGUUGACCUCGGAUCAGGUAGGGAUACCCGCUGAACUUAAGC